This 463-nucleotide ribosomal RNA is filed under the name uncultured bacterium. Its description in RNAcentral is "bacterial SSU rRNA". It matches the Rfam family "Bacterial small subunit ribosomal RNA", at positions 337 to 795 of the family's 1533-position model. The record is from RNAcentral.
UCCUACGGGGGGCUGCAGUCGAGAAUCUUCGGCAAUGGGCGCAAGCCUGACCGAGCGACGCCGCGUGUGGGAUGAAGGCCCUUGGGUUGUAAACCACUGUCAGAGGGGAUGAAGUGCACGUGAGCAAUCUCAUGUGUUUGACAUAGCCUCAGAGGAAGCACGGGCUAAGUUCGUGCCAGCAGCCGCGGUAAUACGAACUGUGCAAACGUUAUUCGGAAUCACUGGGCUUAAAGGGUGCGUAGGCGGUUCUGUAAGUAGGGUGUGAAAGCCCCUGGCUCAACCAGGGAAUUGCGCCUUAAACUGCAGGGCUGGAGUGAGAUAGGGGUGUGCGGAACUUCCAGUGGAGCGGUGAAAUGUGUUGAUAUUGGAAGGAACGCCGGAGGCGAAAGCGGCACACUGGGUCUCAACUGACGCUGAGGCACGAAAGCCAGGGGAGCAAACGGGAUUAGAUACCCGAGUAGUC